This 757-nucleotide ribosomal RNA is filed under the name uncultured bacterium. RNAcentral's name for it is "bacterial SSU rRNA". It matches the Rfam family "Bacterial small subunit ribosomal RNA", at positions 8 to 763 of the family's 1533-position model. The record is from RNAcentral.
AGGGUUUGAUCAUGGCUCAGAUUGAACGCUGGCGGCAGGCCUAACACAUGCAAGUCGAGCGAGAAAGCACUUCGGUGCGAGUACAGCGGCGGACGGGUGAGUAACGCGUAGGAAUCUACCUGGUAGUGGGGGACAACAUGUGGAAACGCAUGCUAAUACCGCAUACGCCCUAUGGGGGAAAGUGGGGGACCUUCGGGCCUCACGCUAUCGGAUGAGCCUGCGUAAGAUUAGCUAGUUGGUGGGGUAAAGGCUCACCAAGGCGACGAUCUUUAGCUGGUCUGAGAGGAUGAUCAGCCACACUGGGACUGAGACACGGCCCAGACUCCUACGGGAGGCAGCAGUGGGGAAUAUUGCGCAAUGGAGGCAACUCUGACGCAGCCAUGCCGCGUGUGUGAAGAAGGCCUUAGGGUUGUAAAGCACUUUCAAUUGGGAGGAAAGGUUGCAGGUUAAUAGCCUGUAACUGUGACGUUACCUUUAGAAGAAGCACCGGCUAACUCCGUGCCAGCAGCCGCGGUAAUACGGAGGGUGCGAGCGUUAAUCGGAAUUACUGGGCGUAAAGCGCGCGUAGGCGGUUGAUUAAGUCGGAUGUGAAAGCCCUGGGCUCAACCUGGGAACUGCAUUCGAUACUGGUCAACUAGAGUACGAGAGAGGGAGGUAGAAUUCCACGUGUAGCGGUGAAAUGCGUAGAUAUGUGGAGGAAUACCGGUGGCGAAGGCGGCCUCCUGGCUCGAUACUGACGCUGAGGUGCGAAAGCGUG